This 450-nucleotide ribosomal RNA is filed under the name uncultured bacterium. RNAcentral describes it as "partial 16S ribosomal RNA". It matches the Rfam family "Bacterial small subunit ribosomal RNA", at positions 354 to 796 of the family's 1533-position model. The record is from RNAcentral.
GUGGGGAAUCUUCCGCAAUGGACGAAAGUCUGACGGAGCAACGCCGCGUGAGUGAUGAAGGUCUUCGGAUUGUAAAGCUCUGUUAAUCGGGACGAAAGAGCCUAGUGUGAAUAAUGCUAGGAAGUGACGGUACCGGAAUAGAAAGCCACGGCUAACUACGUGCCAGCAGCCGUGGUAAUACGUAGGUGGCAAGCGUUGUCCGGAAUUAUUGGGCGUAAAGCGCGCGCAGGCGGAUCUGCCAGUCUGUCUUAAAAGUUCGGGGCUUAACCCCGUGAUGUGAUGGAAACUACAGAUCUAGAGUAUCGGAGAGGAAAGUGGAAUUCCUAGUGUAGCGGUGAAAUGCGUAGAUAUUAGGAAGAACACCAGUGGCGAAGGCGACUUUCUGGACGAAAACUGACGCUGAGGCGCGAAAGCCAGGGGAGCGAACGGGAUUAGAAACCCUUGUAGUCC